AAUUAAAAAAUCUGUUAACGGGUUUUAACAGGUUCCAACGGAUAACCCGCAAACCGGCCGGGUUUAGCCCGCAAAACCUGUUAAGUUAAUGGAUUUUUAUCGGGUCGGCCCGUUAAGAACCCGCACGGUACCCGCACGUUGCCAGGCCUAACUUUUUGUCUCCCACUUCAUUUAUCAAUUUCCAACACUCAAACAUAACACAAUUUUCUCAGUCUUCUUCUUUCCCAGAAAUCGAAAGUCCAUGGCUCCACGCCAACCUCCGCGUCCCACUCAAAAGUAAAUCUGCUAUCCAAUUAAACUAUCGAAGCUCCCAGCUCCUCGCCUAAGCCAGAUCCACCGCCUCCAAGUCCUCCCCUGCUAAGUGAAGGAAAAUGCUUAAAGGUUGUAUCUUUGUGCAGGUUUGGCUUUGGAGUUUUAGAGAGAGAGUAGUGAGUGACCCAUUUGAUGGUUUGUCGAAUUGGAAUGAUAAAGAUGGAGAUAUUGACCCUUGCUCUUGGUUUGGGGUUGAAUGCGUAGAUGGAAAAAUUGUGGUCUUGUAAGUACUCUCUUUGUUUCUUCUUUCAUUUAAUAAUUUCAUUGGGGUUGAUUAAAAUUGUGUCUUGGUUGGAAGAUUCAAAUCAGCCCACCAUCAAAGUGAGAGCUCAGCAAGACAGUAAGCUUGUAUGUAUAAUUUAUCAUUGAUUUUGUUCUUCCUAAUGAGUGUUAUUGUGAGACCCAUAUGUGUUAAAAUUUAUGUCCAUGUGUUCAAAGUUGUUAUGGAAUACACUUUUGACCAUUAAUUAGCUUUGGUAACUCCAUUAGAAUAUUUAUAACUGAAAUGGAUUAAGGUUCAAAUAUUGCACACCAUGUGUUUGAUAGUAUGCCUCAAAGGCAACUACCAAGCUGAACUAGUGGGUUGCUCUAUUAUUUUCGAAAAACCUAUACUUCUUCUUUUAAUCUUAGUUUUUGGAACCUUAAAAUAGAUUCUUCAAUGAUCGUUUUAAACUUAGUUUCAUGCAAAAUGAAGUUGAAAUGAGAUUCUUAUGAUAUUUUGAAAUUAGCACAGUGUUUCAGGAUUUCUGCAGAAAUCAGCAUUUUCUAUCAAUUUGGAUCUCUGUUUGACCGUCCAUUAAUUUGAACUCCGAAUAACUUGAAAUUUUGCGAAAUUGUGGCUUUACAUAUCUAGUUUAAAUCUGGAGAGUUGUGCUUGAAAGAACUAAAAGGAUGAUUGUUGGUGAAUUUUUCUUUUUUGCUACCAGUUUUCUGAAAAUUUCUGAAACUUGCAGCAAUCUUGUUACAGAGCAAAUGAUAUUAGAAGCUACUACACUUUUGUCAGUCCUCAGUCUUUAACAUGUUAAAUUAUACAUGCAAAGCAUGCUUUAAAAGUUAAACUUUAGUCCAAGAGGCUUACUCAACCUUAUUGAAAAGGUUUUCAUGUUUUCUUCUGAUAUAUUUAUUUAGAAACACUGGAUUAUCCUGCUUUAUCUAAUGUUGCUUUUUAUCAUUGUGAGGAACCUUGCUAAUACUGAACACUCCUAUCAUGGGAGACUGGUGGGACCAAAAUCCCCAACUCGAAAUCUUCAUAGCUUAAAACUACCAAAGACAGAACACUAUGUUCCUACACUACUCUUCCACCUUCAGAUGUAGAUGUGAGGUUCUUGCUAAGAUAUGGAACGGAAUAUGAACAAGCUUUCGAAGCUAAUUGCAUUCGUGAAAGUCACUCAGUAGCCACAUGCUCCUUCAGAUAUUUCACUCUUACAGGUUGUUCUACCUGUUUUCAAAUUGUUUGUUCUGACAAGGAUAUUGAAAGCUUGGAUGAAGUGAAGAGAGGUUCAAGGAAGAGUAGGUUGUUCAGCCUUUAGUAAUUCAUAUUGUUCUCAAUUUUAUUCUUGUGUUUUAGUGUAUGGAUGAUUGAGAAAUACUACAUUUAUAGUACAUUUGAUGCUUUUUUUUUUU
This is a long non-coding RNA of Rosa chinensis, 1935 nucleotides long. RefSeq lists it as uncharacterized. The transcript is spliced from 3 exons. The record is from RefSeq and is a predicted model, not a curated record. NCBI's taxonomy places the organism in Eukaryota, Viridiplantae, Streptophyta, Magnoliopsida, Rosales, Rosaceae.